Molecule: ribosomal RNA, 398 nt
Filed under: uncultured bacterium
Lineage: Bacteria
Description: partial 16S ribosomal RNA
Rfam family: Bacterial small subunit ribosomal RNA
Source: RNAcentral
AUACGUAGGGUGCGAGCGUUGUCCGGAAUUACUGGGCGUAAAGAGCUCGUAGGUGGUUUGUCGCGUCGUCUGUGAAAUUCCGGGGCUUAACUCCGGGCGUGCAGGCGAUACGGGCAUAACUUGAGUACUGUAGGGGAGACUGGAAUUCCUGGUGUAGCGGUGAAAUGCGCAGAUAUCAGGAGGAACACCGGUGGCGAAGGCGGGUCUCUGGGCAGUAACUGACGCUGAGGAGCGAAAGCAUGGGUAGCGAACAGGAUUAGAUACCCUGGUAGUCCAUGCCGUAAACGGUGGGCGCUAGGUGUAGGGGUCUUCCACGACUUCUGUGCCGUAGCUAACGCAUUAAGCGCCCCGCCUGGGGAGUACGGCCGCAAGGCUAAAACUCAAAGGAAUUGACGGGG